RNAcentral lists this ribosomal RNA (253 nucleotides) under uncultured bacterium. Its description in RNAcentral is "partial 16S ribosomal RNA". It matches the Rfam family "Bacterial small subunit ribosomal RNA", at positions 524 to 776 of the family's 1533-position model. The record is from RNAcentral.
UACAGAGGUCUCAAGCGUUGUUCGGAUUCAUUGGGCGUAAAGGGCGCGUAGGCGGCGGGGUAAGUCGGGUGUGAAAUCUCAGAGCUCAACUCUGAAACUGCACUCGAUACUGCUCUGCUUGAGGACUGGAGAGGAGACUGGAAUUCACGGUGUAGCAGUGAAAUGCGUAGAUAUCGUGAGGAAGACCAGUGGCGAAGGCGGGUCUCUGGACAGUUCCUGACGCUGAGGCGCGAAGGCCAGGGGAGCAAACGGA